Non-coding RNA from Picea glauca (white spruce), 121 nucleotides. The record is from Rfam. Lineage: Eukaryota; Viridiplantae; Streptophyta; Pinopsida; Pinales; Pinaceae.
UUAUGUGUAUGCCUACAUGUUAAUGCACCGGAUCCCAUUAGAACUCGGUAGUUAAAAAUGCUUGGGCUAGAGUAGUAUUGGGAUGGGUGACCUCUCGGGAAGUCCUAGUGGUUUACAUGCC